RNAcentral lists this ribosomal RNA (251 nucleotides) under uncultured bacterium. RNAcentral describes it as "partial 16S ribosomal RNA". It matches the Rfam family "Bacterial small subunit ribosomal RNA", at positions 81 to 334 of the family's 1533-position model. The record is from RNAcentral.
UUCUUUGCUGGCGACCGGCGCACGGUGAGUAACACGUAUCCAACCUGCCCUUUACUCGGGGAUAGCCUUUCGAAAGAAAGAUUAAUACCCGAUAGCAUAAUGAUUCCGCAUGGUUUCAUUAUUAAAGGAUUCCGGUAAAGGAUGGGGAUGCGUUCCAUUAGGUUGUUGGUGGGGUAACGGCCCACCAAGCCUUCGAUGGAUAGGGGUUCUGAGAGGAAGGUCCCCCACAUUGGAACUGAGACACGGUCCAA